This 253-nucleotide ribosomal RNA is filed under the name uncultured bacterium. Its description in RNAcentral is "partial 16S ribosomal RNA". It matches the Rfam family "Bacterial small subunit ribosomal RNA", at positions 524 to 776 of the family's 1533-position model. The record is from RNAcentral.
UACAGAGGUGGCAAGCGUUGUUCGGAAUUACUGGGCGUAAAGGGCGUGUAGGCGGCCUUCUAAGUCAGACGUGAAAUCCCCCGGCUUAACCUGGGAACUGCGUCUGAUACUGGGAGGCUCGAGUAUGGGAGAGGGAUGUAGAAUUCCAGGUGUAGCGGUGAAAUGCGCAGAUAUCGGGAGGAACACCUAUGGCGAAGGCAGCUCGCUGGGACGUUACUGACGCUGAGACGCGAAAGCGUGGGGAGCAAACAGG